RNAcentral lists this long non-coding RNA (260 nucleotides) under Elaeis guineensis (African oil palm). RNAcentral's name for it is "long non-coding RNA (EGUI_LNC049535)". The record is from RNAcentral. Lineage: Eukaryota; Viridiplantae; Streptophyta; Magnoliopsida; Arecales; Arecaceae.
GGGCUUGGAUAGAUAUAGAUUAGAUCUAUUGAAUAUAAGGUUAAAGGGUUUAACAUAGAUCAUUUCUGCUGCUAUUUCAAAUAGAUUUUGAAAUCUAUGUUUGCAACCCUACCCAUUUUCUAACAUGGACUUCUUCAAGAUGGUGCUCGAUGUCUCGGAUUUUCUUCUCAAGCUCCUCUUGGUGCAAUCUCCUGGGUCUAGGAGAGUAAUCCAAAGUUGAAUCCCUACUAGAGAAUGAACUCCGAUGGUGAGCUUCCUCC